UGAGCGGCAAAGCUCAAAUUUGAAUCUAGCACCUUCGGUGCUUCGAGUUGUAAUUUGAAGAUGGUAACCUUGGGUUUGGCUCUUGUCUAUGUUCCUUGGAACAGGACGUCAUAGAGGGUGAGAAUCCCGUCUGAUGAGAUGCCCAUUCCUAUGGAAGGUGCUCUCCAAGAGUCGAG
RNAcentral lists this ribosomal RNA (176 nucleotides) under uncultured Wickerhamomyces. Its description in RNAcentral is "partial 26S ribosomal RNA". It matches the Rfam family "Eukaryotic large subunit ribosomal RNA", at positions 104 to 269 of the family's 3401-position model. Lineage: Eukaryota; Fungi; Ascomycota; Saccharomycetes; Phaffomycetales; Phaffomycetaceae. The record is from RNAcentral.